CCUACGGGCGGCAGCAGUGAGGAAUAUUGGUCAAUGGACGGAAGCCUGAACCAGCCAUGCCGCGUGCAGGAAGACGGCUCUAUGAGUUGUAAACUGCUUUUGUACAAGGGUAAACCUGAAUACGUGUAUUCAGCUGAAAGUACUGUACGAAUAAGGAUAGGCUAACUCGGUGCCAGCAGCCGAGGUAAUACGGGGGAUACAAGGGUUAUCCGGAUUUAGUGGGGUUAAAGGGUGCGUAGGCGGAAUGCCAAGUCAGCGGUAAAAGCGCGGGGCUCAACCUCGCUCCGCCGUUGAAACUGGGGUUCUUGAGUGGGCGAGAGGUAUGUGGAAUGCGUGGUGUAGCGGUGAAAUGCAUAGAUAUCACGCAGAACUCCGAUUGCGAAGGCAGCAUACCGGCGCCCAACUGACGCUGAGGCACGAAAGCGUGGGUAUCGAACAGGAUUAGAUACCCCUGUAGUC
RNAcentral lists this ribosomal RNA (459 nucleotides) under uncultured bacterium. RNAcentral describes it as "partial 16S ribosomal RNA". It matches the Rfam family "Bacterial small subunit ribosomal RNA", at positions 338 to 795 of the family's 1533-position model. The record is from RNAcentral.